RNAcentral lists this ribosomal RNA (308 nucleotides) under uncultured methanogenic archaeon. RNAcentral describes it as "bacterial SSU rRNA". It matches the Rfam family "Archaeal small subunit ribosomal RNA", at positions 321 to 633 of the family's 1478-position model. Lineage: Archaea; Methanobacteriati; Methanobacteriota. The record is from RNAcentral.
CCCUACGGGGNUCAGCAGGCGCGAAAACUUUACAAUGCUGGAAACAGCGAUAGGGGACUCGAGUGCAGGUUAAAAUCUGGCUGUCGUGAUGCCUAAAAAGCAUUGCAUAGCAAGGGCCGGGCAAGACCGGUGCCAGCCGCCGCGGUAACACCGGCGGCUCGAGUGGAAACCGUUAUUAUUGGGUCUAAAGGGUCUGUAGCCGGCCGGAUAAGUCUCUUGGGAAAUCCAGCAGCUCAACUGUUGGGCUUUCAGGAGAUACUGUCUGGCUCGAGGCCGGGAGAGGUGAGAGGUACUUCAGGGGUAGGGGU